UACGUAGGGUGCAAGCGUUAAUCGGAAUUACUGGGCGUAAAGCGUGCGCAGGCGGCUUUGCAAGACAGAUGUGAAAUCCCCGGGCUUAACCUGGGAACUGCAUUUGUGACUGCAUGGCUGGAGUGCGGCAGAGGGGGAUGGAAUUCCGCGUGUAGCAGUGAAAUGCGUAGAUAUGCGGAGGAACACCGAUGGCGAAGGCAAUCCCCUGGGCCUGCACUGACGCUGAGGCACGAAAGCGUGGGGAGCAAACAGG
RNAcentral lists this ribosomal RNA (253 nucleotides) under uncultured bacterium. RNAcentral's name for it is "partial 16S ribosomal RNA". It matches the Rfam family "Bacterial small subunit ribosomal RNA", at positions 524 to 776 of the family's 1533-position model. The record is from RNAcentral.